RNAcentral lists this long non-coding RNA (5608 nucleotides) under Homo sapiens (human). Its description in RNAcentral is "HSALNT0350782". The record is from RNAcentral. Lineage: Eukaryota; Metazoa; Chordata; Mammalia; Primates; Hominidae.
CGUUCUUUUUCCUCUCGCGGUCCCCAGGAGCCCAGGCACCCCUCGACGCCGCUGCCGGCGGAACCGGGAACCCUCCCCGGGGCUCCCUGCGGGCCCGAAGCCGCCUUCCCGAGGCGGCGGAGUUGGGCAGCUCCGGGCCCCGCGCCGCCCCGCGCCGCCCCGCGGAGCCGGAGUUUCUCUCCGGAGUCUGGACACAGCUCUCCGCUUCGUCGCCGCGCACUGGACCCCGGUAGCGUGGAGCCUGCCCGGGAAGCUGGGCUGCGCCGGCCUGGGGCGAAGGUCCAAGGGGCGCGGGGGCCGGGACGCGGGGCUGUGGCGACGACCGGCCCUCUGCGAACGCUCAGGCCGGCGGGUCCGGGGCCACAGGCUGGGAGUGGAGCUGGCGGCCACUGGGGAGUAGAGAGGACGCCCAGGAACAGGUGCACCAGGGUCCCGGCGGCUGGGCCGAGGGUCGCAAGCAGAGGGGACCGGCGGCUGCCAGCAAGUCCCAAGCAGAUGCCUCCGGCGGGGCAGCCGCAUUUUACAGCGCCCAUUCCGCGUACAUCGAGUAUCCAAAACGAGUAAAAUCGGUUUAUACGUUGGAAUGUAGCUUAUGAUUCCAAAAUCUCAUCUCCAGGCUGCCUAGAUCACACGGCCCCGUUUCAUUCAUUUUUACUGAAUAACGGUCGUUGGACAAUUUAGAGAAGCAGCAGAAACCACGAGAAAAACAGUGGAGUCAAACGGCGGUAAGGACCGACAAGGCUGGCGGGGACAUUGAGCAAACGGCGGCUUCUGAGUUGGCACCUGUCCUUCACCACGUUGUGUGGGAAGUGUGGGGAGUCGGGAUUCCCACUCCUCCCCAGCCUUCCGGAAAAAUGCUCGGAAAUUUCCUUCCACAUUGACACCUGAUUACAGUCUAAAUAGUAACCUUAUUCUGAUUGUUAAUGUAACCCUCUCGUAAUCUCUACAAAAAUACUUUAGUUUUUCUAGCUGUGUUUUCAUGUAAUCACUGAAAUUAUUUUUAAUUGGUUUUAAGCAUUCAUUGAUUCCAUUUACACCACCUGCAAAAAAGUUACAUAGGUGAUCGCUAACAAUACUAGAAUUCGCCCCAUCCAAAGGAAACAUUAGAGUAGAAAAAGAAAAAGGAUUUGAGAAUCCAGUAGGAAAUUCAGUUAAUCAUUCCUUCCCUGUUACUCAACUACCUUAACAUUGUCAGGUUUACCUGAACAUAAACUUCAUUUUCUUAAUUGUUCUUAGAACGAAGGGAUAUGUUUAUUGAAAUCAGUAAUUAAGAAUAUUUUGGGACAGUUAUGAUUUACUUAGCCAGUGAAGCAGUUUCUAUUCCCAAAUCCAGGCAAAGAGAACAAUAAGAUUAAACGUAACCUAAGAGAUUUCCUUUUUGUCAAAUAAUGUGAUUUUGCUAUGUAUAGAGGAGAUGUCUAUAUGUAAGGGCAUAUUUAUGACCAGUAGUUCCUAAAAUUAAGGGGACUAUUAUUGUGUUACUCAAGGUAUCAGUUGUAUAGGAUACAUUAUGUCAUAUUUCAAACAAUGUUUAUAAAGAGAUUAGUAUAAUUAACCUGUGUGUACUUCUCCUCUGGGCCAACCUUGUGUCUUCUUUAUCUGCUGACAGUCCUCUCCCCACUGAAUUAUUUUGAAUCAAAUCCCAGAUAGUCUAUCAUUGUAUUGUAUUUUUGAAUAUUUCUCUAAAAGAUAAUAAUUCCAUCAAUGAGACUGGGUGCAGUGGCUCCUCCCUGUAAUCCCAGCUCUUUGGGAGGCAGAGGUUGGAGGAUCACUUUAGGCCAGGAGUUCAAGACCACCCUGAGCAACAUAGCAAGACCCCAUUUAUAAAAAAGAAGAUUCCCAUCAACGUAACCACAAUACCAUUAUCACACCUAAAUAAUCCAUUAAUAGCAUCGGUUUAUCCAGGCAAUAUUUAAAUAUCUUCAAUUGUCUAAAAACUUUUUGUUUAGUUGGUCGGUUUGAAUUAGAAUGCUAAUAAGGGUUACGUAUUGUGUUUGGUUGAUAUGGGCUAUUAUAUCUCUUUUAGAUUUCCUCAAUCCUCUUUUUUUGUUUCCCUUGCAUUUUUUAUGGGAGAAACUGAACGGUUUGUUCUGAAGAAGUUGACAUUCUGGACUUUGUAGCUGCAGGUAAUAGUUUUUUGGCAAGAUAUUCCCAGGGAUAAGGUCGUUUAUUCAGACUUUUGAAUAUUGGCAAAUAAUAAUAUUGUUUGUAGAGGGAGAAGGAUUAGUCAAGAUAUUUUGAAGAAUCAACUAUUGAAAAAACAAAUUUUUAUCAGAGUAAGCAUGGAUCUGGUAAAGAUUAUGUGAAAUUUUCCUAAAUGCAAAUACAAUCUAAAAUUGUAAUGUCUUACAAUUAAAAAAUAGAUUAUUUUCCAUAUAUUUAUAGAAAUAUAAAUGAUCAAUCAACUAUUUCAUUGACAAUUUUAAAUCUAGUUUUGUCUUGAGGAGAAUAAAGUUUUUUAUAUCUUUAGUAUUUUAGUUGAAGAUCCAAAGACAUUUUAUGUUAAAACUUUAGGUUUUAUAUUGUUUUAUGUUUUAAAACAUAAAAUCUAAAAUGUGGUAAUAUCCAUGAGGUGCAGAGAGAGUAAUAGCACAAAUUCUGUGUUCAUGAAAAUUCAUUUUAGGAUAACUUAAUUAAAAGGACUCAGGAUUUGAAUGAUAUUAGAUUAGACAGAAAAAAGUUCACUUGAGUGUAAGACAUAAGUAAUAAAAACCAAAGGUAGCUAACUUUUGUAGGCUUCUUCUUUCUUUAACGAGUAUGCAUAUGAAAUAAAAUUUCCAUGUCUAUGUCCAUUUUUCCAAGGUACAUGGGCUUCUACAAUUUCGUCUAUUUCAUCCUGCAGUUAUUUUCACGGGUCUCUGUGUCCACCACUAUCUGGAAUCUCUGAGAUGGUGAAAACGAAAUCUUAUUCUUCUUUAUAUUUCAAACAAUUCCUAGCACAUUAUCAAAAAUACCUGAUAAAAUUUAUUGUGUCUGUAAUACUGGUAAGCAUGUAAAAUGGUGGUAAAUAUAUAGGCUUUAAGUUUAGAUAGUUCUAAAUAUUAUUAAAAUUACCAAAUUAUUGUUUUUAAAAAGUAUUAGUUUCCUAGGACAAAUAGAGAUUUUUAGAUAAGGCUGGAUUUGUAAUACUUUAAGCAACAGGUCACAGUGCUUAAGUAUUUAAUGCCGAUUUGGCAAGCAGCUGAUGUUUUAUAUAAUGCUGUCGGGUAUUUUAUAUUUGCGUGUAUUUUCUGAUGCACUGGAUCCAGCACUUCAUGUCACGUCAUAUAUCUGUUUAUAAUGUAUACAAAUGUAUUUUCAUAUAUAUUUGAUGUUUGAUGGCUUUGAAACUUUAAUCUUGAAAUAGGUUUUAAAUUUUUAUUAAAACUAUUUAAAUAAUUACUGUAAGGAAAGAGCUCUUAUUAGUUGAAAGAAAAUGUAGAUUCAUGUUUCCUUGGAGACUAGUCUAGUUUCCAAGGAUAGACGGCAGUGAGGAGUCGGGUAUCUAGAUGGAAUUUCUGUUGGUUUGGAUUCCAGCUCUGCUGCUUACCAGCUUUGUGACCUCAGGCAAACAACUUAACCUCUCCAAGCCUCAAUUUCCCCAUCUAUAUAAUGGUGAUAUUUAUAAGUUUCACCUUAUAGGGCCACGGUGGGGAUUCCAUGAAAUAGUGUAUGUGAAGUGCUUAGCACAGUGCCUGGCACAUACUCAAUGCUCUAUGCAUGUCAGCUAGUACUUAAUGAUGCUAAUAAACAUGUUAUGUCCCUAAGCACGGGUGGGAUCUUGCCUGACGUCCUUCUCUCUGCGUCCUGGUCAGUCUUCACAUGGUGGGCAUCCUUUAUUUCCGGUCACACACGGGUGGUACACAGAGCAUGCUGUUUCUUUCGUGCCAGAAGGUUCCCGCUGCAGCUCUCCUGCUAGUUUAGCUUAGCCUUCUGGUUUGAGGGAUGAGUCACAUGUACCAUCACUUCCCAGGACCAACAGGACCUUUCAGGAAAGCUAUCCCCUGCUUACACAGAGAAUUGCCCUUGCCUAACACUGAAGCCUGGCAGAGUAACAUGAAAUAACCACAGCAAUUCUAAAAUUAGAAUUAGCACGCCUAGAAUAACAGGCGCUGUUGUAGGAGCAAGGUAUACAAUGAUGAUCAAGGCAGAUGCAGCCCUUACCUUCAGGUCGUGGAGUCCGGAUACAGACUGGAGGCAGAGGCAGCUGUAAGAUGUGUGACAAAUGCUGCGCUGGAUCAGCCCAUGGUAUUAGGAGAGCAGCCUCCCAAAGUGCUGGGAUUGCAGGUGCGAGCCACCGGGUCCAGCCUCUCAGGCGAUUUUCAUACCUGCAUACUCUGAUCACUACGCUGUUAAACAGUCAAGGAGGGUAAGUAUUAUCUUCAGAUUUCCAGAGCUCUGUCUCUGUACAGCCCUCUCCUCCUCAAUAUUCUGCCCUAUGAAUUCUAGCCACAUUGGCCUUCCCAGACUCACAGUUCUGUCUUCUCAACUCAGGAAGAUCUCUGAGCUCCAUCUGCAUUCUUUCUUCCUGUGCUGUGGCUUGGAAAGUUUUCUAAGGUGUUUGGGAGGUCAAUUGUGGGGCUAGCCUCAUUUGUUUCUCAUCUCUUGAGGAUCACUGCCCUUUGAUGCUUGAUUCCAGUGAUUGAUUCCCUUUGUUGCUUGAGGGCCAUAGUUUCAUAUAUUUUGUCCAGUAUUUUUGUUGUUUUAGGUCAGAAAGUAAUUUUGGUCUCUGUUACUCCAUCUUGGCCAGAAGUGUAAGACCUAAGCAUUUACACAUCAAAAUACUGCACACAUAAUUUUAGUUUAAGCUACUUUUAAAAAAAUCUGCUUCAUUUUCCAUUAAGCAUUCUAUUUAGGGUAUUACAUUGUUUUUUUUGAAAUUCUGUUAUUGGCAGUUUCUAUUGCCUAUCAAUCCCAUUUAAAGAUAGUGCAUAGGGUAUUCUAAAAUAGCUGUUAAGCAAAGAGAAAAUUGGGCCUGAUAGGGUGAGAAUCACAGCUCUAAUACCUAGAGUGACCUUAUAAUGUAUUGUCCAAAGGAGAUAUUUUUGACAGUGAAAGAGGGUGUUGUUAGUAAUUAUAUCAGGACCAUGGCCUAAACCAGGACUAUCCCAGGCAGCCUGGGACAUAUUUGUACCCCAUCUCUAUUUAAUGCCUUUAUACAAUUCUUAAUUCUACCAGCCUUUAUUGAGCCUGCUUUCUUUGUCUAGCUGAGUGCCACGUGCUGACAUCACUAAGAUCAAUACAGCAAACUCUGAAAGAUGGACGGAGAGACAGGAGAUGGUCCUUUAUAAUGCAGUGUGAUCUGUGCUGCAAUAGAGUUUUGGAAGCUAGAAGUUCAAAACGAGGUGUUGGCAGCACCAUGCUCUCUCUGAAGAUGCUAGGAAGAAUCUGCUCCAUGCCUUUCCAUUCGCUUCUGGGGUUUCCUGCAAGCCCUGACAUUCCUUGGCUUGUAGAUACACCACCCCAGUUUCCGCCCCCAUCAUCACAUGGCCUCCUCUCUGUGUGUGCCUCUGCGUUCCCUCUAUUCUUCUUCUAAGGACACCGACACCAGUCAUAGUGGAUUAAGGGUCCACUCCUAACCAAUUACAUCUGCAACAACCCUAUUUCCAAAUAAAGUCACAUUCUAAGA